GGGGAAUAUUGGACAAUGGGCGAAAGCCUGAUCCAGCAAUGCCGCGUGAGUGAUGAAGGCCUUAGGGUUGUAAAGCUCUUUUACCCGGGAUGAUAAUGACAGUACCGGGAGAAUAAGCUCCGGCUAACUCUGUGCCAGCAGCCGCGGUAAUACAGAGGUCCCAAGCGUUGUUCGGAUUCACUGGGCGUAAAGGGUGCGCAGGUGGGUUUGCAAGUUCGAUGUGAAAGCCCCGGGCUUAACCCGGGAAUGGCAUUGGAUACUGCAGAUCUGGAGGAUCGGAGGGGGGACUGGAAUUCUUGGUGUAGCAGUGAAAUGCGUAGAUAUCAAGAGGAACACCAGUGGCGAAGGCGAGUCCCUGGACGAUACCUGACACUGAGGCACGAAAGCUAGGGGAGCAAA
This 399-nucleotide ribosomal RNA is filed under the name uncultured bacterium. RNAcentral describes it as "bacterial SSU rRNA". It matches the Rfam family "Bacterial small subunit ribosomal RNA", at positions 356 to 772 of the family's 1533-position model. The record is from RNAcentral.